UGAAAUACAAAACCAUAAAUCAGCUAUGGCAGGAUGGUGUGUGUGUUUGUGCUUCUAAUUUUGUGUGUGUUCUUUAGAAAAACAAAGCGGGGACGCUGUGCAGCUGAGAAACUCCACAAGUUUCUGGGGCAGAGCAAGCAGACAGAGCUAGUGCCUGGGACCAGGAGGCCUAAGAGAAAGCUUUAUUUGAUGUUCUUAUCUCUAGAAGCCUUACUAGGAUAGGCACUAAUUUGCAGGGUUGCUCUCCCAGCUGGGAGCCGUGAACUUCAACUAUGCAGUGCUGAGGGAGCCUUGAGGUUGCAGCAAAAGUGAAGGGUAUGGAGCUGGGAGGUGGUAGGAAAGAGAAACAGAAAAGAGCAACACCUACCUGAAGAGAAAAGGGAAGGUGCCAUGGGGAAGGGCGAUGAGCAUAAACCCAGCCUCGCCAAGACCAGCAGUCCAGCUCUCAUGUCAUCUAAGAGACUUUGCAGGACAGAGCAGGGUCCUGGAUCAGCUGACCUGGAAUGAGAGGUCAGAUUCCUGGGAAACAGCAGAGGCAAUGACAUCAGAGCAGUGACGUCACUGCCUCACCUCCAGUCAGAGGAAGGAGGCCCAGAACCCCAGCUCUCAGAGAAGCAGAGCUCUGAGCAAGGAGAUGCCUCCCAGCUCUGGCCCUCCUGCCAUGGGCUGCAGCCCCGUCUGCUGUGUGGCUCUGUGUCUCCUGGCAGCAGGCCUUGUGGAUUCUGGAGUCACCCAAACCCCGAGAUACCUGAUUAAAGCAAGAGGACAGCGAGGGACCCUGGGCUGCUCCCCUGUCUCUGGACACCUCUCUGUGUACUGGUACCAACAGGCCCUGGGCCAGGGCCCCCAGUUCCUCGUUCAGUAUUACAGGCAGGAUGUGAGGGGAGAAGCACAGCUCCCGGAUCGAUUCUCAGGAAAACAGUUUAGUGACUUUCACUCUGAGCUGAACCUGAGCUCCUUGGAGCUGACAGACUCAGCCGUGUAUCUCUGUGCCAGCAGCCAAGACACAGCCCUGCAUGAUCAGGUGCCUCUGGGACAAAAACAGUCCUGCCCCAGCUCAGGAAGUUACUGUGAGGGUGACUGCCUGCCUGUCAGGCCUAGAUAG
Bubalus bubalis (water buffalo) is the source of this 1105-nucleotide non-coding RNA. Lineage: Eukaryota; Metazoa; Chordata; Mammalia; Artiodactyla; Bovidae. The record is from the annotation of a RefSeq genome assembly.